CCUACGGGAGGCAGCAGUGGGGAAUAUUGCACAAUGGGGGAAACCCUGAUGCAGCGACGCCGCGUGAGUGAAGAAGUAAUUCGUUAUGUAAAGCUCUAUCAGCAGGGAAGAAAAUGACGGUACGUGAGUAAGAAGCUCCGGCUAACUACGUGCCAGCAGCCGCGGUAAUACGUAGGGGGCAAGGGUUAUCCGGAUUUACUGGGUGUAAAGGGAGCGUAGACGGCAGUGCAAGUCUGGAGUGAAAGGCGGGGGCUCAACCCCCGGACUGCUCUGGAAACUGUACGGCUGGAGUGCAGGAGAGGUAAGUGGAAUUCCUAGUGUAGCGGUGAAAUGCGUAGAUAUUAGGAGGAACACCAGUGGCGAAGGCGGCUUACUGGACUGUAACUGACGUUGAGGCUCGAAAGCGUGGGGAGCAAACAGGAUUAGAUACCCCUGUAGUC
This 440-nucleotide ribosomal RNA is filed under the name uncultured bacterium. RNAcentral describes it as "partial 16S ribosomal RNA". It matches the Rfam family "Bacterial small subunit ribosomal RNA", at positions 338 to 795 of the family's 1533-position model. The record is from RNAcentral.